Molecule: ribosomal RNA, 448 nt
Filed under: uncultured bacterium
Lineage: Bacteria
Description: SSU rRNA
Rfam family: Bacterial small subunit ribosomal RNA
Source: RNAcentral
AGAGCGAACGCUGGCGGCAGGCCUAACACAUGCAAGUCGAGCGCCCGUAGCAAUACGGGGGCGGCAGACGGGAUAGUAACACGUGGGAACGCGCCCUUCGGUUCGGAAUAACUCAGGGAAACUUGAGCUAAAUACCGGAUACGCCCUUACGGGGAAAGAUUUAUUGCCGAAGGAACGGCCCGCGUCCGAUUAGCUAGUUGGUGAGGUAAUGGCUCACCAAGGCGACGAUCGGUAGCUGGUCUGAGAGGAUGACCAGCAUCACUGGGACUGAGACACGGCCCAGACUCCUACGGGAGGCAGCAGUGGGGAAUAUUGGACAAUGGGCGCAAGCCUGAUCCAGCCAUGCCGCGUGGAUGAUGAAGGCCUUAGGGUUGUAAAGUCCUUUUAACGGGGAAGAUAAUGACGGUACCGUAGAAUAAGCCCCGGCUAACUUCGCGCCAGCAGCCGC